Molecule: ribosomal RNA, 699 nt
Filed under: uncultured archaeon
Lineage: Archaea
Description: bacterial SSU rRNA
Rfam family: Archaeal small subunit ribosomal RNA
Source: RNAcentral
UUCUCGAUAGGUGAAGAACUCUGGAAUGAGUCUUUGCCAAAAAGACGUUUACGUUAUGCUCGUAGACGUCGCCCAAGGAUGAGGCCGCGACCGAUCAGGUUGUUGGUGAGGUAAUGGCUCACCAAGCCUUUUACCGGUGCGGGCCGUGAGAGCGGGAGCCCGGAGAUGGGCACUGAGACAAGGGCCCAGGCCCUACGGGGCGCAGCAGUCGCGAAAACUUUGCAAUACACGAAAGUGUGACAGGGCUAUCCCGAGUGCCAUCCGCUGAGGAAGGCUUUUACCCAGUCUAGAACGCUGGGGGAAUAAGGAGAGGGCAAGUCUGGUGUCAGCCGCCGCGGUAAUACCAGCUCUCCGAGUGGUGUGGAUGUUUAUUGGGCCUAAAGCAUCCGUAGCUGGCUGAGUUAGUCCCUUGUUAAAUCCACCGAAUUAAUCGUUGGAUUGCGGGGGAUACUGCUCGGCUAGGGGACGAGAGAGGCAGACGGUAUUUCUGGGGUAGGGGUGAAAUCCUAUAAUCCCAGGAGGACCACCAGUGGCGAAGGCUGUCUGCUAGAACGCGCCCGACGGUGAGGGAUGAAAGCUGGGGGAGCGAACCGGAUUAGAUACCCGGGUAGUCCCAGCUGUAAACGAUGCAGACUAGGUGUUUGGACGGCCACGUGCCGUUCUAGUGCCGCAGGGAAGCUGUUAAGUCUGCCGCCUGGG